AGGGAAUCCUUGCCGGUGGAUAUUAUAAAUUCCGAAACCGUUGAGCUUCCUUCGGUCGUUGGUUCAGUAUGUGAGGGUAACAGGCUGAUCUUAGUUGGGGCCCUUGCCCCACCUUGUGCAUGUAUCUGAAUUCUGAACAAAGAGGAAGUUGCAACCAUCGCUUUGAAGGAUGAGCCAGUUCUUUACAGCUAGACCACAUGCUUGUGAUCCUUCAAGUUUGCAACAAUAUCUUCCUAGCAAAGAAAUUGAUGCGGAAAUGAAAGAAAAUGGAGCUAAUAGGUUUGUGCUUUUUAAGUGUGUUCUUAAAUUCAACUUUGGCUAAUCUGACUCAAAUGAUUCUUGUAGGCAA
Helianthus annuus (common sunflower) is the source of this 349-nucleotide long non-coding RNA. RefSeq lists it as uncharacterized. The transcript has 3 exons. Lineage: Eukaryota; Viridiplantae; Streptophyta; Magnoliopsida; Asterales; Asteraceae. The record is from RefSeq and is a predicted model, not a curated record.